This 254-nucleotide ribosomal RNA is filed under the name uncultured bacterium. RNAcentral describes it as "partial 16S ribosomal RNA". It matches the Rfam family "Bacterial small subunit ribosomal RNA", at positions 524 to 776 of the family's 1533-position model. The record is from RNAcentral.
UACGAAUCGUCCAACCGUUGUUCGGAUUUACUGGGUUUAAAGGGCGCGUAGGCGGUGCGUUAAGUCGGCGGUGAGAUACUUCGGCUCAACCGGAGAAUUGCCGCUGAAACUGGCGUGCUCGAGGGAGGUAGAGGUGCGUGGAACUUCCGGUGGAGCGGUGAAAUGCGUUGAUAUCGGAAGGAACACCUGUGGCGAAAGCGAUGCACUGGACCUCUUCUGACGCUGAGUGCGCGAAAGCCAGGGGAGCGAACGGG